AUGACACUGCACUCCAGCCCAGGUAAUGGAGAGAGACACUGUCUCUAAAAAAAGUUUAAAGAUGUAAAACGAUAUCAAAGUACAUAAUACAAAGGACAUAACUUAAAAUGUUGAAAGUGGUAACAAGAUUUAUAAAUGAAACAGAGUCACCUGUACCACUCUCUAUUCCUACUUUGAGGGACAAACACUUUCAACUGAUUCUUUUCCUGGUAUUUUCCUUCACUUUUCUGUGUCCCUGGUUCUCAAAGUGGGGUCUCUAGAAUUUGGGAGAAAUGCAAAUUCUUAGACCCCACCCCAGAUAUACCGAAUCAGACUAUGAGGGUGGAGCCCAGCAGCCAAUGUUUAAACAAACCUGUCUCCAGAGAUUCUGCCUCACGACCCCCCAAAGUUCUGACUGUUCUGGGUGAGGUGUUUAUACAAUGACUUCCUCCUAUGGACUGUGAAGGCUUACCUUUCUUCCACCCUCUCCCCAGCCCCACAAUCCUGCCUUCUUAUCUUUUCAGCACAGCUAUAUGACCAAUUUUGAUGAUGUUAAAAUUCAGUGUUUGUUGUAAUUAUGUAAAUAUUUUCACAACUAUCAGUAUAUUUCAUGUUUUAUGUAACUUUUAUUUUCCCUGGACUGAAUAACUGCCUCAUUUUUUUGUUGUCGUGAUGGCUUAGUGGGUUUGUUGUUGUUGUUUUUUAGAAACGAAGUCUCAGUAUGUUGCCCAAGCUGGUCUUGAACUCCCGGUCUUAAGCGAUCUCCUUGCCUCAGCCUCCCGAGUACUUCUCAGUUUUCUAUACAAAUCUCUCAUCUAUCCCUAACCUCUCAGUGGAGAAACUCCAAGAUGAACCCCAAAGAUCUCCAUCUCCAGCUGUUCACACUCCUAUGUAAUCUCUAGCCCUUGGGUGUGGAAAGGACUUGUGACUUACUUUAACCAACAACAGAAUAUAGCAAAGAUGCCUAAGAACUGCAAAUGAGAAAUAAUUUUCUCACCUGGUCACAGCAUCUACCAAGAAUGGCGCUGGGGGAGAGAUCAGUGAG
This 1024-nucleotide long non-coding RNA is filed under the name Homo sapiens (human). Its description in RNAcentral is "HSALNT0305458". Lineage: Eukaryota; Metazoa; Chordata; Mammalia; Primates; Hominidae. The record is from RNAcentral.